UGAUACGUACUGUAGUAGACAUCUGGAGUAUAGGCUAUAACGUGGUGAAGACUAGGGCUGAACAGACGGUUAUGGAGCCUUGUCAUCUACACAGGGAGAGGGGGUUGCAGAGAGGAGAAGAAUAUGUAAAGAGGACUAACCAGUCUCUAGGGCUGCUGACAACUUUGGCCAGGCUGAGGACAAAAUCAACAAAGAGGGAGCACGGUUCAAUACAGUGUAAUAAGGACCAAAGUCUGGGCCCCCUUUUUUCCCCUGGGCCUGGGGCAACUGACCCCUUUGUCAGAAUGGCUGGUGUGAGAUUUAGACAUCUGAUUUUCUUACAUCUUUUUUCUUUAUUCAUUAAAUCAAAAUACAGCAUA
Long non-coding RNA from Engraulis encrasicolus (European anchovy), 359 nucleotides. RefSeq lists it as uncharacterized. The transcript has 2 exons. The record is from RefSeq and is a predicted model, not a curated record. Lineage: Eukaryota; Metazoa; Chordata; Actinopteri; Clupeiformes; Engraulidae.